Molecule: ribosomal RNA, 395 nt
Filed under: uncultured bacterium
Lineage: Bacteria
Description: partial 16S ribosomal RNA
Rfam family: Bacterial small subunit ribosomal RNA
Source: RNAcentral
AUACGUAGGGUGCAAGCGUUAAUCGGAAUUACUGGGCGUAAAGCGUGCGCAGGCGGUUUUGUAAGACAGACGUGAAAUCCCCGGGCUCAACCUGGGAACUGCCUUUGUGACUGCAAGGCUAGAGUACGGCAGAGGGGGGUGGAAUUCCGCGUGUAGCAGUGAAAUGCGUAGAUAUGGGGAGGAACACCGAUGGCGAAGGCAGUCCCCUGGGCCUGUACGUACGCUCGUGCACGAAAGCGUGGGGAGCAAACAGGAUUAGAUACCCUGGUAGUCCACGCCCUAAACGAUGUCAACUGGUUGUUGGGUCUUCACUGACUCAGUAACGAAGCUACCGCGUGAAGUUGACCGCCUGGGGAGUACGGCCGCAAGGUUGAAACUCAAAUGAAUUGGCGGGG